Molecule: transfer RNA, 71 nt
Filed under: Acidimicrobiia bacterium
Lineage: Bacteria; Bacillati; Actinomycetota; Acidimicrobiia
Description: tRNA-Gly
Rfam family: tRNA
About the family: Transfer RNA (tRNA) molecules are approximately 80 nucleotides in length.
Source: RNAcentral
GCGGGUGUGGUUCAACGGCAGAACGUGAGCUUCCCAAGCUCGAGACGGGGGUUCGACUCCCCUCACCCGCU